Molecule: long non-coding RNA, 1618 nt
Filed under: Gallus gallus (chicken)
Lineage: Eukaryota; Metazoa; Chordata; Aves; Galliformes; Phasianidae
Description: lncRNA (ENSGALG00010003067.1)
Source: RNAcentral
UCCACCUGGUUAAAAUUCCUCCUCUUUCUGUUUUCCAUCUCCCUACAUCCAUUUUGCUCGGCGCUGUUUAAACAAUACUUCAUCAAAUGCAGCCCGAAGCAAAUAAAAAGCACAGUAGAGUAAAUAAAAAGUGUAAAAAAAAAAAAAAAAAAAUCACAGGCUGGAGGGCAGCGGGACUGACGCCGGGGCUGCAGCACUGACCCGAGUCACAGCGAUGGGAAACCUUUGUUUAUCACCUGUGGUGGGGGCCAAAAUGGGAAAUUAAAAGCUCUCCAUCAGCGGAAGGCCUUCAGGAGCCCGGGAAAGUAACAGGAAGGCAAAAAGCAAACUGCUCCAUAUUUAUAACCGACUUCUUCAAUUGCUAUUUAAACUCGCAGCUCAUUAACCUGGGAGGCUGCUCCAGCACACAGCCACGCAAAGUUUAAAACGGCAAAAAUUUAGCUUGUCUUUCCGAGGUGUUCUGUAUUUCAUCAGAGCCUUUAACCUGCAUUUAAGAGCCGGCUGGAUGCAAUUGCUGACUACAAGCAGGAGCCAAGGCCCGCCACGCAUGGACGUUCAGCACUUCUCUGUGGGAAGGUCCAAGUCCGUGUAGGCCCGGGCCUGGCCGCCAUGCCUGCAGGUGUCUGGCAGCGCUCAGGCCGCAGUGGACCUUUCCCUGAUGCACUGUGUCUCAUCAGAGCACUGCUUCACAUCCCCUACCUGCCUUAUGGAUAGCAGCACCCUCACCACCACGAGGACCUACCAGUGCUUCUGCCUCUCUGCCCCUGCGCUGAUCUUAUGGAAUGAGAUUCCUAGUCUUAGGGACUAAAACAGCCUUUAGAACUAAGCGAGGGUCUACAUGGGAGACCAUUUCUCACCUAUGGGCUUUUCAGGAUCAGCUUGCCAAAACCAGCAUCCUCAUAGAAUCAUAGAAUCAUUAAGGUUGGAAAAGACCACUGAGAUCUAAUCCAGUCCCACCGUGCCCACUACCCACAUUCCUCAGUGCCACAUCCCCAUGGCUCUGGAACACCUCCCAGCAUGGUGACCCCACCACCUCCUUUCAUUUCACACUGGGCAUUUUCUUCCCCAAACACAUCAUUCUGAAGAGAACAAGAUUGCAAGGCAUCUUACUUGUAAAGCGAACAGGAGAUGCUUUGAUUUUCGAAAGAAUAAUGCUUCCAGCUGUCCUAGUUAGUUCAGAGGAUUUAAAAUUUUACAUCUAUAUUAAAUUAAUAGAAUACAGCUGCAUUUUGCUUCUAACACAACGUCGUAUUACAGCAUAGCAUGGCACUCAUUUGAAGGGAUGACCUGAAGCUCACAGAGCUCCACUGGGAGAUGCCUUCUGGAGCCUUUAUCAGCUCAGGGUUGGAACACCCACCACCACCUUUUAUACUGACACCUCCAAGCAGCACUUGGGACUCCUCUUAUGAACACUUUAUAACAUGCAGCUGAAACAGCAGAACUCUUGGCUGACACUGGAGGACUGUACCAAUGGCUGACAAGCAGGGCUUGCUGCAGAACUCCCACAGCAGCCAUUGCUCCACAGAGACAUUGCAACAGCUCCACCUCACAUCACCUUUGGGACAUUCUGAGGCCACAGUUAGCUGGCCUUGUCACCGUCACCUGCCCUUUACUCAGC